AUGGCUUGGGUCAGAAGCACCUUAUUUCUCAAACUGAUAUCUUUGGUCAUGAACAGUUUAGAUUGUGCAGCCACUUUCUUGCCUGCUCAAGGAAGAUCUUCCAGAAAAGAGCUUGUGUGUCUCUACUGCUUAGUUAUGCUUUUGCCUCCCAUCUUACUGCUGGGGGUGAUUUUUGCUCUGAGAGAGGCAAGAGCACAGUCGGUGACCCAGCCUGAUGUCCAAGUCUCUGUCACUGAAGGAUUGCCACUGGAGUUGAAGUGCAACUAUUCCAUUCGUGGAGCACCUUCUCUCUUCUGGUAUGUCAAGCACCCCAACGAAGGUCUUCAGCUGCUCCUCAAGUACCUUUCAGGGAACACCCUGGUUAAAGGCAGCAAAGAUUUUGAGGCUGAAUUUAAAAAAAGUGAAUCUUCCUUCAACCUGAGGAAACGCUCUGCUCAUUGGGAUGACUCAGCUGAGUACUUCUGUGCUGUGAAUGACACAGUGCUUUAG
Molecule: non-coding RNA, 489 nt
Organism: Chrysochloris asiatica (Cape golden mole)
Lineage: Eukaryota; Metazoa; Chordata; Mammalia; Afrosoricida; Chrysochloridae
Source: the annotation of a RefSeq genome assembly